CUGAGGGGGGAGAAACGGCGCUAACUUUAGCUCGCUCCGCCGGCGUGGGAGGGAGGACGGAUCCCGGCUGAGGGAGGGAAGGAGGCCUCAUUCGGCUCAGUGGAGGAGUCGAGGGCGCCGCGGGGCCCGACGCAGGGAGCGCUCGUCCCGCUAGCUCCCUUCCCUCCCGAGGCAGGGGGAGCGUCGGCACCGAGCUUUUCUUUUUUGAGGGGGGAACGGCGCCUCGCCUCCCCUCGCCGUCCGCGGGAGCCGGAGGGGCAGGAGCCCGGCGCGGCGAGAGGGAGGGGAGGCGGGCCGGGGUUUCAUUCGACGCCCACCAGGGGCUGAGCGAGCCUCCUUCAGUGCGCAAACUCGGGGCGCCAGAUAAAAGCCGGGCUGGCGGCUCCGGCGCUGCUUUGAUGGAGCCGGGAGAACCGAGGGGAGGAAGGAGGAGGGGGUAGUAGUAGUAGUCGUCGUCAAAGGCGGGCCAGAGUAGCUCGGUUCCCCGCAGCGGGGCUUCCCGGCACCCCGUCGGAGGAGGAGGAGGAAGCGGCGGGAGAGGCGGCCCGGCGGGACGCAGAGGCGGCGGCUGUAAUGGGGCGCUGGCUCUCUGUAGGCGGGAAUCUUGCUGCUUUCCUGUCCGUUCCUCCAGAUCAAUUUGCUUAUCAGAAAGUCUCCAGAGUUGAUCACGUGACCCGUCAUAAAUACGAGUCAGUUGCCAAGCAUCUGGAUUUUGAUCGCGUGGCCACAGGGAGGCUGCAACGGUCGUAAGUGUGAAAAACGGGUCACUUUUUUUCAGCGCUGUUGCAAUUUCAAACUGUUGUAAGUUGAGAGCUACGUAUAUGUGGUUAUUAAAAUACUAAAAACUAUAUUCUUUAAAAAAAAGUCUCUUUGAAUUGAACUUGCGGCCCUGUCAUUUUCUUGGAAGCGAGAUUUACAUCACCUUCAUCUGAUUUCUCCCCCCCCCCCUUAAUUAUUGUAUCUGACCUAUACUUGUGGUAUUCUGUGGAAGUGUCCACCUUUCAAAUAGUAACCAGCCCCAUCCCUGCUUAUCUCCUGAGAUAACUAAGUUGGCCAAAUGCUACCAAUAAGGGCAGACACAUAUUCCCAGGUAUUUGUCAUUUCUUAAUCUGCUGCUUCUGAACAAUAGGCUUUUGGGGUUAUAUAUUUAAUCUGCAUUCUUUUUUCUUUUCUUUUUUUUUACCUUUUCUGGUAAGGGGGGGGGGCUGACUUCUUUGGAAUGUAGAAUACCUUAAUUGUCAUUGUGUAGCUCACAACGAAAUUAAGUGCGGUCCAUAGUGCACACUGCACACAAGUAAAAACAUACAUUAUAUAUACACAUCCCAUAGGGUGACUGAUGCUAGGAUUGUUUAUGCCAAAUACUGGAAAGAAAAGGAGACGCUGACUAUUUUAAAAUUGACCGAACUGGGAAAGAUGGUAACAUUUAACAGCAUUGAUUAGAGACAAUGGAUUAAGAUAAAUUUAUAAGAGAUUUGGAAGCCGUUUGUGGACUUCAGAUACAAUAACAGACUAUUAAAGAGGGCUUUGAAGACUAAUUCUGCUCUUGGGGUUACCGCUUCACUUUUUAUUUUUAAGGGAAUAGAUGGUGGGUUGACUUGAGAGAUCGUAGAUUGCCACAUCGGUGACCUCUUUUGAUGUAAGAUAAUAUUUUUGGUAAAUGCAGACGGGAAACUUCAUAACUAUUUGUAGAGCUGUAAUGCAAGGCAGGGGCACGUAACAGAUAACAUUUUUCAGCAUUCAACCAGGAUGGACAUUUUUAUGUUUAAUGUUAAUGUUAUAUGUGUUAUAUACAUGCUUUUAUUACUGUUUUUUUGUGUUUGGAUGUUUUGUUUGUAGUUGAUUUUUUUUUCCCCUUUCUAUUUUGCAUUUUAACUUUGGAGAUAAAAAUAAAAAAAAAUCUUAAAAAAUGAGUGAUUUGGCAUAAUAUCUGUUAAAACACAGAAAAGUUGGAGCCACUAACAUUCUCUGCUUUCCAUAAUAGGACUGGGUUUCCUCACUACUAAUUAAAUACAGUCCUGCUUGGACUAAAUAAAUGUAGUAGACGUGUGUUCUCCCUUUGUGUGCAAUGAAACCGAUUAAAAGUAGUGUGUUGUAUACUUGGCUUAUUCAUUAAAGAGAGCUUUUGAGACAGGUUACACAAGCUCUUGAGAUAGCCUGCCACCCAGAACAGCUGACAGGAAUACCUAUUGUUCUGCUUGGCUUUUCUGCCAUCUAAUCUGAUUUCUCAAAGGCCGUGUGGAAAAUGUAAUAAUUCAAAAGGCAUUUUGGCACUUCCUGGAGGGACCAGCCCUGCUCGAACAAACAAACAGAGCAUUUUACAGCUUAAAGAUGUAGAUCCACGCAAGAGGAAACAAAUAGCAAAUACUGCUAGCAAAAUUAAAAUAAUUAGCUGGCUUUUGUUGUUGUUGUUUGUUAAUGACAAUCACACAGUCCAGAUGUGUGCUUUUAAGUCCGCCUAUUCAGUUACGAUUCUUAGGGGCAUAAUUUAAAGACGAAUGCAUAAAUAAGUAUGAAAGCAAGCUUUAUCUCUACAGUGUUCCUUACAAAGCAGGGUGCUUUUCCAAAAUCAGCUUCUGAUAUCGUUUGAUUAAACCCUUUUGUUCACUGGAUUCCUAACCUGCAGGAACAGAAGGACAGAUUGCAGCAAAAAAAAA
Crotalus tigris (Tiger rattlesnake) is the source of this 2654-nucleotide long non-coding RNA. RefSeq lists it as uncharacterized. The transcript is spliced from 2 exons. The record is from RefSeq and is a predicted model, not a curated record. NCBI's taxonomy places the organism in Eukaryota, Metazoa, Chordata, Lepidosauria, Squamata, Viperidae.